This 478-nucleotide ribosomal RNA is filed under the name uncultured bacterium. RNAcentral's name for it is "partial 16S ribosomal RNA". It matches the Rfam family "Bacterial small subunit ribosomal RNA", at positions 28 to 507 of the family's 1533-position model. The record is from RNAcentral.
GAUGAACGCUGGCGGCGUGCUUAACACAUGCAAGUCGAACGGGAAACCUUUUAUUGAAGCUUCGGCAGAUUUAGCUGGUUUCUAGUGGCGGACGGGUGAGUAACGCGUGGGUAACCUGCCUUAUACAGGGGGAUAACAGUCAGAAAUGGCUGCUAAUACCGCAUAAGCGCGCAGAGCUGCAUGGCUCAGUGUGAAAAACUCCGGUGGUAUAAGAUGGACCCGCGUUGGAUUAGCUGGUUGGUGGGGUAACGGCCCACCAAGGCGACGAUCCAUAGCCGGCCCGAGAGGGUGAACGGCCACAUUGGGACUGAGACACGGCCCAGACUCCUACGGGAGGCAGCAGUGGGGAAUAUUGCACAAUGGGGGAAACCCUGAUGCAGCGACGCCGCGUGAAGGAAGAAGUAUCUCGGUAUGUAAACUUCUAUCAGCAGGGAAGAUAAUGACGGUACCUGACUAAGAAGCCCCGGCUAACUACGUG